RNAcentral lists this ribosomal RNA (424 nucleotides) under Microsporidia sp. clade VIII. Its description in RNAcentral is "SSU rRNA". It matches the Rfam family "Eukaryotic small subunit ribosomal RNA", at positions 1341 to 1791 of the family's 1831-position model. The record is from RNAcentral. Lineage: Eukaryota; Fungi; Microsporidia.
CCUUAACCUGCUAAAUAGCUGUGAGAACGCGAGUUCUUGAGAGCUUCUUAGAGGGACUAACCACAUUUAGUGGUUGGAAGUUUGAGGCAAUAACAGGUCUGUGAUGCCCUUAGAUGUUCUGGGCUGCACGCGCGCUACACUGAUAGAGGCAGCGAGUCUACCGCCUUGACCGGAAGGUCUGGGUAAUCUUGUGAAACUCUAUCGUGCUGGGGAUAGACCAUUGCAAUUAUUGGUCUUCAACGAGGAAUUCCUAGUAAGCGCAUGUCAUCAGCAUGCGUUGAUUACGUCCCUGCCCUUUGUACACACCGCCCGUCACUACUACCGAUUGAGUGGCUUAGUGAGGCCUUUGGAUUUGACGGUGAGGCGCAAGCCUUGUAGUCGAAAAAAUUGGUCAAACUUGGUCAUUUAGAGGAAGUACAAGUCG